Long non-coding RNA from Micropterus salmoides (largemouth bass), 609 nucleotides. RefSeq lists it as uncharacterized. Lineage: Eukaryota; Metazoa; Chordata; Actinopteri; Centrarchiformes; Centrarchidae. The transcript is spliced from 3 exons. The record is from RefSeq and is a predicted model, not a curated record.
AAGCAUGUGUUGCGGGUGCGGGCUAUCGCAGUGGAGUUCAGUCAGUGGAGACCUCAACAUGGCUUCUGGCAACGACAGGGGAGCGGGUCUGUCGCCCGAAGCCGAGGUAGCAGCUCAGGCUUUUGUGCAGUUAUUGGCCCGGGAGCUGUCCUCAGGCCCCAAACGCACAGAGAGAGAGUACAGCAGUCAGGGCUGGAGGCAGUGCUCCUCUGCCGGUUAGCGAUGCUAGGGGAAUAGCCAUCCCAGAGAUUCAAUGGGACGAGAGUGGCUACACAAAUGAGCCUCAUUCCGGGGUAAAUAUUCAAAACUUAAGUAGCUUAAGUGCAAACUUUACAAAAGUAAAAUCCCUGUAGUCUCUUUUCCUCUCCUAGUUUAGAACAUCCAAAUGAUUACUUGAAAUGCUGCUGUAAAUACUGUGGAAUGUAAACAAAGAAUGAAGUUUCAUUUACCAAUUUUAUGUGCAUUUGUGUUUCAUUUCAUCUCAGAGGGAGCUGGGCUUUACUGUUUCUGUCAAACAUUCACAUUUAUGUCUUCUCCUUUCCCUGUGCUGCAGUGAAGCACACAGCAGUGGAUAGAAAGGAGGGAGAGAAACAUGACCAUUUGACAAUA